This 468-nucleotide ribosomal RNA is filed under the name Cellulomonadaceae bacterium 'ARUP UnID 199'. RNAcentral's name for it is "bacterial SSU rRNA". It matches the Rfam family "Bacterial small subunit ribosomal RNA", at positions 27 to 506 of the family's 1533-position model. The record is from RNAcentral. Lineage: Bacteria; Bacillati; Actinomycetota; Actinomycetes; Micrococcales; Cellulomonadaceae.
GGACGAACGCUGGCGGCGUGCUUAACACAUGCAAGUCGAACGGUGAUCCUGGUGCUUGCACCGGGUGAUCAGUGGCGAACGGGUGAGUAACACGUGAGUAACCUGCCCCCGACUCUGGGAUAACCCCGGGAAAUCGGAGCUAAUACCGGAUACGAGACGCACACGCAUGUGUAGCGUCUGGAAAGAAUUUCGGUCGGGGAUGGACUCGCGGCCUAUCAGCUUGUUGGUGGGGUAAUGGCCUACCAAGGCGACGACGGGUAGCCGGCCUGAGAGGGCGACCGGCCACACUGGGACUGAGACACGGCCCAGACUCCUACGGGAGGCAGCAGUGGGGAAUAUUGCACAAUGGGCGCAAGCCUGAUGCAGCGACGCCGCGUGGGGGAUGAAGGCCUUCGGGUUGUAAACCCCUUUCAGCAGGGAAGAAGCGAGAGUGACGGUACCUGCAGAAGAAGCGCCGGCUAACUACGU